This 308-nucleotide ribosomal RNA is filed under the name uncultured bacterium. Its description in RNAcentral is "bacterial SSU rRNA". It matches the Rfam family "Bacterial small subunit ribosomal RNA", at positions 28 to 326 of the family's 1533-position model. The record is from RNAcentral.
GAUGAACGCUGGCGGCGUGCCUAAUACAUGCAAGUCGAACGCACAGCGAAAGGUGCUUGCACCUUUCAAGUGAGUGGCGAACGGGUGAGUAACACGUGGAUAACCUACCUCAAGGUUGGGGAUAACAUUUGGAAACAGAUGCUAAUACCGAAUAAAACUUCGUAUCGCAUGAUACAAGGUUAAAAGGCGCUACGGCGUCACCUAGAGAUGGAUCGCGGUGCAUUAGUUAGUUGGUGGGUAAAGGCCGUACCAAGACAAUGAUGCAUAGCCGAGUUGAGAGACUGAUCGGCCACAUUGGGACUGAGACA